This 253-nucleotide ribosomal RNA is filed under the name uncultured bacterium. RNAcentral describes it as "partial 16S ribosomal RNA". It matches the Rfam family "Bacterial small subunit ribosomal RNA", at positions 524 to 776 of the family's 1533-position model. The record is from RNAcentral.
UACAGAGGGUGCGAGCGUUAAUCGGAAUUACUGGGCGUAAAGCGCGCGUAGGCGGCUUCGCAAGUCGGGUGUGAAAUCCCCAAGCUCAACUUGGGAACUGCAUUCGAGACUGCGUUGCUAGAGUAUGGGAGAGGGAAGUGGAAUUUCAGGUGUAGCGGUGAAAUGCGUAGAUAUCUGAAGGAACAUCAGUGGCGAAAGCGACUCCCUGGACCAAUACUGACGCUCAUGUGCGAAAGCGUGGGGAGCAAACAGG